Molecule: ribosomal RNA, 250 nt
Filed under: uncultured Chroococcidiopsis sp.
Lineage: Bacteria; Bacillati; Cyanobacteriota; Cyanophyceae; Chroococcidiopsidales; Chroococcidiopsidaceae
Description: partial 16S ribosomal RNA
Rfam family: Bacterial small subunit ribosomal RNA
Source: RNAcentral
CUAGCUGUAAACGAUGGAUACUAGGCGUUGAGAGUAUCGACCCUCUCAGUGUCGUAGCUAACGCGUUAAGUAUCCCGCCUGGGGAGUACGCGCGCAAGCGUGAAACUCAAAGGAAUUGACGGGGGCCCGCACAAGCGGUGGAGUAUGUGGUUUAAUUCGAUGCAACGCGAAGAACCUUACCAGGGCUUGACAUGUCCGGAACCCUGCCCAAAGGCGGUGGUGCCUACGGGAACCGGAACACAGGUGGUGC